UAUAAAACAGGAGUAAGCAUCCAGCAUCUCUUCAUUGCGGUAGUAUACUUGUUCGCGAUUAGGCAGAAAGAAACCGAUCAUUGCAUCCAUUUGACGCAUUUUGACAUAAUUAUUAACUCGCAGAAUUGUACUGCUUCAUCAUUUUUUAAAUCGCGCAUAGUGGAAGAAAGAAUACGUAUUAUAAUCUAUUAUUAAGAAUAUUGGAGUGUCCAAGAUAAAAUGUCACAUCGUGUGCUACGGCUCAGAAAGUGUGAAAUUUGAAAGUCACAGUAAAAGAAAACGCGUCGAAUCAGUGACACAACGCAUCUCAUUAUAUGGUCUUUCGAGCACUUAUUUAAUACUACCAAAGGCCCUGCAUUAUUACAGAUAUCACAGAUCAAAAUAAUUAUCAUCACGGGAAGAUUAUCAUAAAAACAAUCAAUAUUUCCAGGAGAUGCAAUUAAAAUGAAGCUAAUCUUUUUAUUACUGUUAUUGAUCAGUUCCUCUUUUUGCGUACCUUGGCUCAAUUUAUGGUUUCCCCGACAAUCUUCAUACGACAAUCGAAAUAUCGAAUAUGCGAACGGACAAGAUGGCCCGUAUCAGCAAUAUCGUCAGGGCAGAGGCGGUAAAGAACGUUGGAAGCAGAUCUGCAAGACGAUAAAUCCGGAUUCGUAUGCAUUCCCAGGACGCGUGCCUUAUCCUGCCGCACCUGUCUGCCCCUGGUAAAAGAAACUUUCGAUCAACCCUUAUAUCUGUUGUGCCAAACACAAACAAGAACUCGUCAUGCGUUAAAAAUAUGAAUUUAUUGUAACAAUCUAUAGCUUCAGACACAUUAUACAUCCACUGAUUAUGAGUAUUUCAGUCGGUAUGUUUAUGUGUGUGUGUGUAUAUGUGUGUCCAUAUGUGUGAUAAUAUUAGCAAAGGAAUAUACAUGAAUAUUCGCGCUAUUACAAAUAGCUACUUACUAUAACGCAUUCACUGUGUAAAGUAUGAAGCGAAAAAAUAAUUGUUUGCAUGUCGCAUUUUCAUACACGAAUUUUAUUAUUGUUUUAGCCUCGUUUCUUGGUCAGUAUUUUAUGUCGGAUUUAAAAAAAAAAAAAAAAAAA
This is a long non-coding RNA of Formica exsecta, 1085 nucleotides long. RefSeq lists it as uncharacterized. The record is from RefSeq and is a predicted model, not a curated record. The transcript is spliced from 3 exons. NCBI's taxonomy places the organism in Eukaryota, Metazoa, Arthropoda, Insecta, Hymenoptera, Formicidae.